Molecule: long non-coding RNA, 1745 nt
Organism: Artibeus jamaicensis (Jamaican fruit-eating bat)
Lineage: Eukaryota; Metazoa; Chordata; Mammalia; Chiroptera; Phyllostomidae
Exons: 4
Source: RefSeq, a predicted model, not a curated record
UGUCGCGUGGGAAGCAGGAAGGUUGCAACAGCUCAAGGAAAAUCAUUUAAUGGCACUGAAAAACCAUUCCUUGAAGUCAGGAAUGCACGGCAAUGCCCCCCCCCUCCACCGACCCCACCAAAAAACCCUAGUAACAUGUGGGCGAGAAUCCUGGAAACUAAGCAUCGCAAUUCCAUCCUUGCAUCAGACUACGGUAAACUGACACCAUAAUGUGCGGCAGUCUGUUCUCCAGCACUUCCAGAUGACACGAGAGGACUGGAAAGGGUCCAACAGAGGGGAAUUAAAGUGACAAGCAGGAAGAGUGUUCUUUACAUGCUGACAAGCAAAAAACAAACUCUGGCUUUCAGAGAAAGACGAGAGCUCAGACGCGAUAUGGCGGGGGUGUGUGUGCACCGUGGGAGCACAGUCGCCGUCCCCAGAUCGUGGACCAGUGCGAGGCAGCCCUCGGAGGCUGAGAGAGGCUGAUUCGGAAGAAACGAAGAAGGGUCUGCUCGGUGGGCAGUGAUGUGGACAUGCUUCCCCCCAGAGGCUGCUUCACUGGUCCUCAGUCUCGUCCCAAAUCGUGGAAGGAAGACUCCCCGUCAGAACCUUCAGAUGGGGAGGUUCUGGACGGGGACGGGAUGGCCAGAAAGAGCAGCAAUGCUGGGACAAGGGUGUUCCUAUUCUCUGUGACAGCUUGUGGAUUUGGAGAGUCUGUGGCAAGUUGCAAGGAAAACCUUUAUGAAUGAAACUUUCUAAGACUUACAUCAGGGACGGCAGCAACAAAACUGUUCCUCAGUGUCAUACUGGAGAUUCCACUAAACUGAUGCACAGGGUAACUUCUGUGUGAUCACAGGAGUAGUUGCCAUAUUUCCACACCGCGGGCAGCUCAGGAGGCCAGGGGCUGAAGGAGACCCCCACAAGAUCCACAAGAAUUACCCCAAUAGGCAACCCAGGGGCCACAGUACCAAGGAAAGAUAUCUCCUAGGUGCUGCUAGUUUAAGGUGCAUAAGGCUGAGGAUUUAUGUGGUAUUUUCAGAUACCUCAAAAGAUCAACAAAUUCUGUGUUGACUAAACUUUCCAAACUGGCAAGAUUAGUCCUUCCAACUGUUCCCAGUCACGCUGCAUACCAAUCACCCAGUGCACUUUUGAAAAUGCAGCUAGCUCCGGGAUCCACCCGAGAUGGACUGAAGUUUUCAAAGUGCUCCCAGGUGAUAUAAUGUGUGGCGGAAGUGGAGAGCCACUGAGCGUCUCCAUUUGUUCAAGUUAAUUAUUCGGGAGCUUCUGGCUGCAGGGCGAGCGCAAAGGGCAUGGACGAACAGGCCAGGGUGGAAGAGAGAAGUCGAUUCUGCCACGUGUGCUGUGACACUGGCCAGGCUGUUCCUGCAAGGCUGGUGGGGGUGGGGAGCCGAGCCGCUUGCAUUCCUGAAUGUUACCAGACAGACUUGGACGUCGGAAAUGUAACUCUGCAGGGUGCCUGGUAUCCUGCGAGGAAGGGAAGAGAAGAGAGGCAAAUCAUGAGUUACCCACGGAACCAGGUUUAGUGUCCGAUCAAACAGUGCAGUCGCUAUAUCUCACCCUUGAGUGAGAUAUACCAGGCUUCGAAUGAUCGGGAGGAAGGCCAAGGUCAAAGCUGAAAUGCUGAAGAUGGACAAGUGGGAAAACCAGGGAGAAGGUCUCACAGACGACCCUGCCGUUCCCUCUGGCUUCCCCAGCCGAACCCUGCUCUGCAAGCCGAUAGGAGAGACAGACCCAGAAGGAGAAGG